Molecule: long non-coding RNA, 1543 nt
Filed under: Triticum aestivum (bread wheat)
Lineage: Eukaryota; Viridiplantae; Streptophyta; Magnoliopsida; Poales; Poaceae
Description: long non-coding RNA (TAES_LNC025431)
Source: RNAcentral
UUCCUUGCGGGAUCUCAGGCAAGAUGACCAUACCCUCGAAAUCACUUCUAUCUUUGCUUGCUAGAUGCUCGCUCUUUUGCUAUGCCUAUGCUGCGAUACCUAUCACUUGCUUAUCAUUCCUCCUAUAUUGUUGAACCAAGCCUCUAACCCACCUUGUCCUAGCAAACCGUUGUUUGGCUAUGUUACCGCUUUGCUCAGCCCCUCUUAUAGCGUUGUUAGUUGCAGGUGAAGAUUGGAGCUUGAUCCAUGUUGGAACAUGGAUAUUUUGUUGGGAUAUCACAAUAUCUCUUAUUUAAUUAAUGCAUCUAUAUACUUGGUAAAGGGUGGAAGGCUCGGCCUUAUGCCUGGUGUUUUGUUCCACUCUUGUCGCCCUAGUUUCCGUCAUAUCAGUGUUAUGUUCCUGGAUUUUGCGUUCCUUACACGGUUGGGUUAUAAUGGGGACCCCUUGACAGUUCUCCUUGAAUAAAACUCCUCCGGCAAGGCCCAACAUUAUUUUACCAUUUGCCACCUAGCCUUUUCUUUCCCUUGAGUCGGCCAGCUCAAGGGUCAUCUUUAUUUAACCCCCCCCCGGGCCAGUGCUUCUCUAAGUGUUGGUCCAACUGAGCGAUGUCCGAGGCUACCAGGGGCAACUCUGGGCUGGCUUACCCGAUGUCUUGCUCAUCCGGUGUGCCCUGAGAACGAGAUAUGUGCAGCUCCUAUCGGGAUUUGUCGGCACAUCUGGGUGGCUUUGCUGGUCUUGUUUUACCAUUGUCGAAAUGUCUUGUAACCGGGAUUCCGAGCCUGAUCGAGUCUUCCCGCUAGAAGGAAUAUCCUUCGUUGACAGUCAGAGCUUGUGAUGGGCUAAGUUGGGACACCCCUGCAGGGAUUUGAACUUUCGAAAGCCGUGCCCGCGGUUAUGGGCAGAUGGGAAUUUGUUAAUGUCUGGUUGUAGAAAACCUGAAGUUGAUCUUAAUUAAAAUACGUCAACCAUGUGUGUAACCGUGAUGGUCUCUUCUCGGCGGAGUCCGGGAAGUGAACACGAUGUUGGAGUUAUGUUUGACGUAGGUUGUUCUAGGAUCACUUCUUGAUCAUAGUUGUUCGACCGUGCUUUGCCUUCUCUUCUCGCUCCCAUUUGCGUAUGUUAGCCACCAUUUAUGCUAGUCGCUUGUUGCAGCUCCACCUCAUACCUUUACCCUACCCAUAAGCUUAAAUAGUCUUGAUCGCGAGGGUGUGAGAUUGCUAAGUACCCGUGACUCACAGAUACUUCCAAAACCAGUUUGCAGGUGCCGAUGAACCCAUGCAGGUGACGCAACCAAGCUCAAGGAGGAGCUCGAUGAAGAUCUUGGCCGUUGUGUCGUUUCGUUCUAGUUGAUCAGUAGUGGAGCCCAGUUGGGGUCGAUCGGGGAUCUGUGUAGCUUUUGGGGUAGUCUUCUUUUAUUUUGGGUUCCGUAGUCAGACCUUGUUUGUAUCUGGUUGAUGUAAUGCUUUAUUCAUGUAAUUGUGUGACGUGGCGAGUGUAAGCCAACUAUGUAUCUCUUUCCCUUUAUGUAUUACAUGGGUUGUG